Molecule: ribosomal RNA, 229 nt
Filed under: uncultured bacterium
Lineage: Bacteria
Description: partial 16S ribosomal RNA
Rfam family: Bacterial small subunit ribosomal RNA
Source: RNAcentral
CGGGGUGAGUAAUGUAUGGGGAUCUGCCUGAUGGCGGGGGAUAACUACUGGAAACGGUAGCUAAUACCGCAUAAUGUCUGCGGACCAAAGCGGGGGACCUCCGGGCCUCGCGCCAUCAGAUGAACCCAUAUGGGAUUAGCUUGUAGGUAAGGUAACGGCUUACCUAGGCGACGAUCCCUAGCUGGUCUGAGAGGAUGAUCAGCCAUACUGGGACUGAGACACGGCCCAG